CACAUGAUAACUGCCCUAAGGAAGGGGAUAACCCCGGGAAACUGGGGAUAAUACCCUAUAGGUUACAGAUGCUGGAAUGCUCUGUAACUCAAAGCUCCGGCGCCUUAGGAUGGAUCUGCGGCCGAUUAGGUUGUUGUUGGGGUAACGGCCCAACAAGCCCGUAAUCGGUACGGGUUGUGGGAGCAAGAGCCCGGAGUUGGAUUCUGAGACACGAAUCCAGGCCCUACGGGGCGCAGCAGGCGCGAAAACUUUACAAUGCGGGCAACCGUGAUAAGGGAACCUCGAGUGCCUGUAUAUGCAGGCUGUCCAGGUGUCUAAAAAACACCUGAAGAAAGGGCCGGGCAAGACCGGUGCCAGCCGCCGCGGUAAUACCGGCGGCUCGAGUGGUGGCCACUUUUAUUGGGCUUAAAGCGUUCGUAGCUGGGUUGUUAAGUCUCUUGGGAAAUCCGGCGGCUCAACCGUCGGGCGUCUAAGAGAUACUGGCAGUCUUGGAACCGGGAGAGGUGAGGGGUACUUCGGGGGUAGGAGUGAAAUCCUGUAAUCCUCGAGGGACCACCUGUGGCGAAGGCGCCUCACCAGAACGGCUUCGACAGUGAGGGACGAAAGCUGGGGGAGCAAACCGGAUUAGAUACCCGGGUAGUCCCAGCCGUAAACGAUGCGCGUUAGGUGUAUCGACGACCACGAGUCGUCGAGGUGCCGAAGGGAAACCGUGAAACGUGCCGCCUGGGAAGUACGGUCGCAAGGCUGAAACUUAAAGGAAUUGGCGGGGGAGCACCACAACAGGUGGAGCCUGCGGUUUAAUUGGACUCAACGCCGGGAAUCUCACCGGAUAGGACAGCAGAAUGAUUGCCGGGCUGAAGACUCUGCAUGACUAGCUGAGAGGUGG
This 886-nucleotide ribosomal RNA is filed under the name Methanoculleus sp. RPS4. RNAcentral's name for it is "bacterial SSU rRNA". It matches the Rfam family "Archaeal small subunit ribosomal RNA", at positions 97 to 990 of the family's 1478-position model. Lineage: Archaea; Methanobacteriati; Methanobacteriota; Methanomicrobia; Methanomicrobiales; Methanomicrobiaceae. The record is from RNAcentral.